Molecule: ribosomal RNA, 253 nt
Filed under: uncultured bacterium
Lineage: Bacteria
Description: partial 16S ribosomal RNA
Rfam family: Bacterial small subunit ribosomal RNA
Source: RNAcentral
UACGAGGGGGGCGAGCGUUGUUCGGAAUUAUUGGGCGUAAAGGGAGCGUAGGCGGUUCGGCAAGUCUCUAGUGAAAUCUCUGGGCUCAACCCAGAGUCUGCUGGGGAAACUGCCGGGCUUGAGUAUGGGAGAGGUGAGUGGAAUUCCCGGUGUAGCGGUGAAAUGCGUAGAUAUCUGCAGGAACACCCGUGGCGAAGGCGGCUGGCUGGACCGCAACUGACGCUGAGGAGCGAAAGCUAGGGGAGCAAACAGG